GCCACUGAGUCCUGUCUGUGAUACACAGCUUCAUUCAUUUUACUUUAUGAGGACGUCAUCGGUCAGUUCUUGCAAAAUUCCAAGGAGGCAGAAAGGCUGCUUGAUUGAGACUCAUUUCCCCUGGCUGUGGACUGACUUUAUUAUCCAUAAUUAAUGGUGAGUAACUCGGUAGAUGGUAUCCCUUUGUAAGCAUGAAUUUCUAACCAAAGAACAUCUUUCAGCUCCGAUCAUUGUUCAAUUGAAUGUUGCCAUGGGACUACAGCUAUUUAUUCCCGCACAGUGUUUUUCCAGAGAACUGUGAUGUGGCUCUGGUGACAGAGUGUAUGUUUCAUAGCUAUGCAAUCCUUUUCUUUUUUCCUCUCUCUCUCUUAUUUAACAAAGAGAAACAAAAGACCCUCACCAUAUGUGUAACAUUUCCCAUGAAUACGUUAGAAUGUCAGAAGGGAGACCGAUGCCGGAAGAUCCUGGCAGGGUAGAGGCCCCUCCUGACCGUUUCAUUUCUGUUUUCAUCUGGUGAUGUGCUAGAAAGUAGAUUUGACAUGAAGAACCGAAGAUCAUCCAGAAAUUGCUGAACACCCCGAUCGUGUGCAUCAGCGGUUCCAAACAGAUACAUCCUGGAAUAAUAAGCCCAUGGGUUUUAGAGUAAAUACGUCCCCUUUCUCCUCCUCAGCCAGGACCCUGGUGCCCGUCUAUUUCACAAUACAGAUGUGCGUAGGGAACAGCUGUUGGGUUUGCCUGCCUUUUAUUCAUCCUGUCUUUUUCAGCUAAAACACUUCAGUUUUCUUUUGGGGAUCCACCCCUCUCCGGGGGUGACAGUCAAAGUGUAUAACAACUGGAAUGACAUGGGUAUUACCACACCCACACAAUCGGAAUGGAUGCUGACUGUGACACCUGCUGAACCCAGAUUCGCUCAUCAGAUACUGUUUUGAUGAGUCCUGACAUCAAGAUGCCCUGGCCUUCCUUCUCUAAGGGCCAAGCAUGGACCGAGCUAAGCCAAACAGAUCCUCUGCCCUGAGAAUUUGCAUGCUGACAGGCAACACACGCAAGGGCCGAAAACAUGUGGCACAGGUGGGUCCCAAACGUGUUGCCUGGAAA
This 1095-nucleotide long non-coding RNA is filed under the name Lynx pardinus (Iberian lynx). The record is from RNAcentral. Lineage: Eukaryota; Metazoa; Chordata; Mammalia; Carnivora; Felidae.